GCUCAUGCAAGAACAUACAAACUACCUCAUAUGAAGAUGUCAAUGGUAAAGCAAGCUAUGUACCCACAAUCAAAAUUAAAAAAGAAAUGGAAGAAAAGGAAAAAUUACCAGAGAAGCUUGAAACAGUUGGUGCAUUUCAAAAGCUGCCCAUGGUGAUGCAAUCUUUUGAUAUUCUUUACUCAACAAUAAAGAAGGCCAAGAGAGUUUCUCCAACUAAGGGCAUUGCCAACAUUGCAAAGCGAGAGAGAAAUAGAGGUGCA
Long non-coding RNA from Humulus lupulus (European hop), 260 nucleotides. RefSeq lists it as uncharacterized. The record is from RefSeq and is a predicted model, not a curated record. Lineage: Eukaryota; Viridiplantae; Streptophyta; Magnoliopsida; Rosales; Cannabaceae. The transcript has 3 exons.